UGGGGAAUUAUGCAGAAGGCAAUUAUGUGAUGUCCUGAACCUCAACACCUGUACAGUGAUGUAUAAACAUCAAGAAAAUACAUGAUCAAGUUCUUGCAGAUAUCAAAAACAUGGAAGCAGAGGUGCAAUCAUUAGAAGAGAUUUCAAAGCAGCUAUUCCUGGAAAUAUAUGAGCUUCAUCAAGUAAAGGUUGAUUCACUUUGGUUGGCUUCCUUUGAU
Molecule: long non-coding RNA, 218 nt
Organism: Rosa chinensis
Lineage: Eukaryota; Viridiplantae; Streptophyta; Magnoliopsida; Rosales; Rosaceae
Exons: 3
Source: RefSeq, a predicted model, not a curated record